RNAcentral lists this ribosomal RNA (497 nucleotides) under uncultured bacterium. Its description in RNAcentral is "partial 16S ribosomal RNA". It matches the Rfam family "Bacterial small subunit ribosomal RNA", at positions 28 to 507 of the family's 1533-position model. The record is from RNAcentral.
GAUGAACGCUGGCGGCGUGCCUAAUACAUGCAAGUCGAGCGAACGGACGAGAAGCUUGCUUCUCUGAUGUUAGCGGCGGACGGGCGAGUAAUACGUGGAUAACCUACCUAUAAAACUUGGAUAACUUCGGGAAACCGGAGCUAAUACCGGAUAAUAUUUUGAACCGCAUUGUUCAAAAGUGAAAGACGGUCUUGCUGUCACUUAUAGAUGGAUCCGCGCUGCAUUAGCUAGUUGGUAAGGUAACGGCUUACCAAGGCAACGAUGCAUAGCCGACCUGAGAGGGUGAUCAGCCACACUGGAGCUGAGACACGGUCCAGACUGCAACGGGAGGCAGCAGUAGGGAAUCUUCCGCAAGGGGCGAAAGCCUGACGGAGCAACGCCGCGUGAGUGAUGAAGGUCUUCGGAUCGUAAAACUCUGUUAUUAGGGAAGAACAUAUGUGUAAGUAACUGUGCACAUCUUGACGGUACCUAAUCAGAAAGCCACGGCUAACUACGUG